UACGUAGGGGGCGAGCGUUGUCCGGAUUUAUUGGGCGUAAAGAGCUCGUAGGCGGUUUGGCAAGUCGGGUGUGAAAACUCCGGGCUCAACUCGGAGACGCCACUCGAUACUGCUAUGACUUGAGUCCGGUAGGGGAGUGCGGAAUUCCUGGUGUAGCGGUGAAAUGCGCAGAUAUCAGGAGGAACACCGGUGGCGAAGGCGGCACUCUGGGCCGGUACUGACGCUGAGGAGCGAAAGCGUGGGGAGCGAGCAGG
Molecule: ribosomal RNA, 254 nt
Filed under: uncultured bacterium
Lineage: Bacteria
Description: partial 16S ribosomal RNA
Rfam family: Bacterial small subunit ribosomal RNA
Source: RNAcentral